GACGAACGCUGGCGGCAGGCCUAACACAUGCAAGUCGAGCGGCAGCGGGACCUUCGGGUUGCCGGCGAGCGGCGGACGGGUGAGUAAUGCCUAGGAAUCUGCCUGUUAGUGGGGGAUAACGCGGGGAAACUCGCGCUAAUACCGCAUACGUCCUAUGGGAGAAAGCGGGGGCUCUUCGGACCUCGCGCUAACAGAUGAGCCUAGGUCGGAUUAGCUAGUUGGUGGGGUAAUGGCCCACCAAGGCGACGAUCCGUAACUGGUCUGAGAGGAUGAUCAGUCACACUGGAACGGAGACACGGUCCAGACUCCUACGGGAGGCAGCAGUGGGGAAUAUUGGACAAUGGGCGAAAGCCUGACCCAGCCAUGCCGCGUGUGUGAAGAAGGUCUUCAGAUUGUAAAGCACUUUAAGUCGGGAGGAAGGGCUGUAGGCUAAUACCUUGCAGUUUUGACGUUACCGACAGAAUAAGCACCGGCUAACUUCGUGCCAGCCGCCGCCGUAA
RNAcentral lists this ribosomal RNA (500 nucleotides) under uncultured bacterium. Its description in RNAcentral is "partial 16S ribosomal RNA". It matches the Rfam family "Bacterial small subunit ribosomal RNA", at positions 28 to 523 of the family's 1533-position model. The record is from RNAcentral.